ACCCCAGGUCAGCGGGACUACCGCU
RNAcentral lists this ribosomal RNA (25 nucleotides) under Stewartia ovata var. grandiflora. RNAcentral's name for it is "partial 26S ribosomal RNA". Lineage: Eukaryota; Viridiplantae; Streptophyta; Magnoliopsida; Ericales; Theaceae. The record is from RNAcentral.